Monodelphis domestica (gray short-tailed opossum) is the source of this 1422-nucleotide non-coding RNA. The record is from RefSeq and is a predicted model, not a curated record. Lineage: Eukaryota; Metazoa; Chordata; Mammalia; Didelphimorphia; Didelphidae.
AGUAAUUAUCAUCUUUAAAGUCAGCUAUUUCCAACCAAAAUACCCCCCAAAGGCAAUGCUGCAACCCAGCAUUGUGAUUCAGAGAACUGGACCCAAUUUCUCCAAAUCAUACAAUUUAGGAGUCUCCCUGAGAUCUGACUGGAGGAGCUCAGGCUGAUCACACAGGAGAGCACGCUGAUGUGAAGAGAGACAAGUAUACUUUCAAGGGACUCCGAUUUGAAAUAUUGAUUCAGUCACAUUAAUUGAAUUUUUUCCUUGAGAAGUGAUUACAAAAAUGUUGCUCCAAUAUUAAUUUGUAUCUGCUUUGGAUAAGAUUAACAUUAAUUUCUUUCGCCAGUCCCCAUUACUCUUUUAUUAUUCAUUAGCAUCUCUCUUUGCAUGUGUAAGAGACCUUGAUGAAGCAUGUUUAUUCAUAGACUAACCUUUUUCAAUAAUUCUAACAGCUCUCUAACAGUAACCUUCCUGGCAUGCUGAAUAUCUUCCUUUUGUUUCAUUAUUCAGUCCUUGCUCUCCAUCCUCCACUUGAGAUGCUGAACAUGAAUCACACUGCUCUUCCUAUUGCUCUCGUCCUCCCACUGAAAUGUCCUCCGCAGUCUGAUCCCACAGGAUAGCUCUGUUCACAAAAUACUGCAGCAAAAUUGUCUCCCGGUAGAAUCAAGGGCAGCAUCCUUUCUACAAAGCGGGUAAGCCCUGGGCUCAUUUUCUAAGCAGAAAGAAUGGACAAGGCAGUGAAAGAAGGUGGCACCAAAAUAUAUACAUACAUAUACACAUAUAUGCUAUAUAGCAUUACAUGAUGAUACACACAUAAAUAAUAUGAUGAUAUCAUAUAGAUGUAUGUCUUCUUGGGGGGGGCAUCAAUCUAUCUAAAUCCUCCUUGAACUUUAAUAAAUAUAUACUCAAAUAAUGGGCAAGGAAAAAGUUUAUUUCAUUGCAUUCUGUAGGCUAGCUUUCUAGUGAAACACUAUGAGAUGGCUCAUUAAAAAUGAGGAUGGCAACAUAGGGCUGAAUCAUACUGUAUUAAGUUGUUUUAGAAUAUACCUUACAUUAUUUAUACCAAGAAAUAGUUCACCAUGUCUAGAUGGGAAUUUUGGUUUGUAAAUAUUUCCUUUUAUGGCACAGAAAACAACAGCAACAACUGUAUGCUAUGAAAGAUUUAACAGUUUUCUUUGACAAUAUUUCACCUGCUGUUUGUUUUUGUUUUUGUUUUUUAAUGGAAUUAGAAACUUAUUAAAGAUCAUUUGGUGAAUUACAGUAGAGUGAUGUCAGAUGUCUACCACUUUCCUAAUAAUCAGCCUGCGACUUAAGAAGGAAAGGAAAGAAAAUUGGGCAAAGGAGCUAAAGGAAGGAGUUUGAAAUGACGUGAAAGUGAAAUAGGUGAUGGUAACAGUAUAAUGCAAUCGUGACCAAAAAAAAAAAGGAAAA